GUCUACGGCCAUACCACCCUGAACGCGCCCGAUCUCGUCUGAUCUCGGAAGCUAAGCAGGGUCGGGUCUGGUUAGUACUUGGAUGGGAGACCGCCUGGGAAUACCAGGUGCUGUAAGCU
Cavia aperea (Brazilian guinea pig) is the source of this 119-nucleotide ribosomal RNA. The record is from Ensembl. NCBI's taxonomy places the organism in Eukaryota, Metazoa, Chordata, Mammalia, Rodentia, Caviidae.